This 455-nucleotide ribosomal RNA is filed under the name uncultured bacterium. RNAcentral describes it as "bacterial SSU rRNA". It matches the Rfam family "Bacterial small subunit ribosomal RNA", at positions 28 to 507 of the family's 1533-position model. The record is from RNAcentral.
GAUGAACGCUGGCGGCGUGCCUAACACAUGCAAGUCGAACGGGGAUAGCAAUAUCUUAGUGGCGCACGGGUGAGGAACACGUAGCUCACUUGCCCUGAAGUGCGGGAUAAUGUCCCGAAAGGGAUGCUAAUACCGCGUAAGCUCACGGAUUGCAGAGGUCUGUGAGAAAAGGCGAAAGUCGCUUCAGGAGAGGGCUGCGGCCCAUCAGCUAGUUGGCGAGGUAAUGGCUCACCAAGGCAACGACGGGUAGGGGCCUGAGAGGGUGGCCCCCCACACUGGGACUGAGACACGGCCCAGACUCCUACGGGAGGCAGCAGUGAGGGAUAUUGGUCAAUGGGGGGAAACCCUGAACCAGCGACGCCGCGUGGGUGAAGAAGGUCUUCGGAUCGUAAAGCCCCUUUUNUGCGUGAAGAGAGAGGACGGUAGCGCAGGAAUAAGUCUCGGCUAACUACGUG